GAGGAUAUAGCUCAGUGGCACAGUGUGUGCCUAGUAUGUGCAAGGACCUGGAUUCAAUCCCCAGUAACCCCC
RNAcentral lists this transfer RNA (72 nucleotides) under Marmota marmota marmota (Alpine marmot). It matches the Rfam family "tRNA". From Rfam's summary of the family: Transfer RNA (tRNA) molecules are approximately 80 nucleotides in length. Their secondary structure includes four short double-helical elements and three loops (D, anti-codon, and T loops). RNAcentral also lists the same sequence under 3 other names. The record is from Rfam by way of RNAcentral. Lineage: Eukaryota; Metazoa; Chordata; Mammalia; Rodentia; Sciuridae.